Molecule: ribosomal RNA, 1341 nt
Filed under: Flavobacterium aquidurense
Lineage: Bacteria; Pseudomonadati; Bacteroidota; Flavobacteriia; Flavobacteriales; Flavobacteriaceae
Description: 16S ribosomal RNA
Rfam family: Bacterial small subunit ribosomal RNA
Source: RNAcentral
GACCGGCGCACGGGUGCGUAACGCGUAUGCAAUCUACCUUUUACAGAGGGAUAGCCCAGAGAAAUUUGGAUUAAUACCUCAUAGUAUAAUGACUCGGCAUCGAGUUAUUAUUAAAGUCACAACGGUAAAAGAUGAGCAUGCGUCCCAUUAGCUAGUUGGUAAGGUAACGGCUUACCAAGGCUACGAUGGGUAGGGGUCCUGAGAGGGAGAUCCCCCACACUGGUACUGAGACACGGACCAGACUCCUACGGGAGGCAGCAGUGAGGAAUAUUGGACAAUGGGCGCAAGCCUGAUCCAGCCAUGCCGCGUGCAGGAUGACGGUCCUAUGGAUUGUAAACUGCUUUUGUACAGGAAGAAACACUGGUUCGUGAACCAGCUUGACGGUACUGUAAGAAUAAGGAAUCGGCUAACUCCGUGCCAGCAGCCGCGGUAAUACGGAGGAUCCUAAGCGUUAUCCGGGAAUCAUUGGGUUUAAAGGGUCCGUAGGCGGUUUAAUAAGUCAGUGGUGAAAAGCCCAUCGCUCAACGGUGGAACGGCCAUUGAUAACUGUUAAACUUGAAUUAUUAGGAAGUAACUAGAAAUAUGUAGUGUAGCGGUGAAAUGCUUAGAGAUUACAUGGAAUACCAAUUGCGAAGGCAGGUUACUACUAAUGGAUUGACGCUGAUGGACGAAAGCGUGGGUAGCGAACAGGAUUAGAUACCCUGGUAGUCCACGCCGUAAACGAUGGAUACUAGCUGUUGGAAGCAAUUUCAGUGGCUAAGCGAAAGUGAUAAGUAUCCCACCUGGGGGAGUACGUUCGCAAGAAUGAAACUCAAAGGAAUUGACGGGGGGCCCGCACAAGCCGGUGGAAGCAUGUGGUUUUAAUUCCGAUGAUACGCCGAAGGAACCUUUACCAAGGGCUUUAAAUGUAAGAUUGAACCGUUUUGGAAACAGAACUUUCGCAAGACAAUUUACAAGGUGCUGCAUGGUUGUCGUCAGCUCGUGCCGUGAGGUGUCAGGUUAAGUCCUAUAACGAGCGCAACCCCUGUUGUUAGUUGCCAGCGAGUCAAGUCGGGAACUCUAACAAGACUGCCAGUGCAAACUGUGAGGAAGGUGGGGAUGACGUCAAAUCAUCACGGCCCUUACGCCUUGGGCUACACACGUGCUACAAUGGCCGGUACAGAGAGCAGCCACUGGGCGACCAGGAGCGAAUCUAUAAAACCGGUCACAGUUCGGAUCGGAGUCUGCAACUCGACUCCGUGAAGCUGGAAUCGCUAGUAAUCGGAUAUCAGCCAUGAUCCGGUGAAUACGUUCCCGGGCCUUGUACACACCGCCCGUCAAGCCAUGGAAGCUGGGGGUGCC